RNAcentral lists this ribosomal RNA (451 nucleotides) under uncultured bacterium. RNAcentral's name for it is "partial 16S ribosomal RNA". It matches the Rfam family "Bacterial small subunit ribosomal RNA", at positions 29 to 523 of the family's 1533-position model. The record is from RNAcentral.
AACGAACGCUGGCGGCAGGCUUAACACAUGCAAGUCGAACGGGUGUAGCAAUACAUCAGUGGCAGACGGGUGAGUAACACGUGGGAACCUUCCUAGGGGUACGGAACAACUCAGGGAAACUUGAGCUAAUACCGUAUACGUCCGUGAGGAGAAAGAUUUAUCGCCCUUAGACGGGCCCGCGUCGGAUUAGCUAGUUGGUGGGGUAACGGCCUACCAAGGCGACGAUCCGUAGCUGAUCUUAGAGGAUGAUCAGCCACACUGGGACUGAGACACGGCCCAGACUCCUCCGGGAGGCAGCAGUGGGGAAUCUUGGACAAGGGGCGCAAGCCUGAUCCAGCCAUGCCGCGUGAGUGAAGAAGGUCUUCAGAUUGUAAAGCUCUUUUGCCAGGGACGAUAAUGACGGUACCUGGAGAAUAAGCCCCGGCAAACUUCGUGCCAGCAGCCGCCGUAA